GAGACUCUGUGCGCGUGCAUAUCAAUAAGCGGAGGAAAAGAAACUAACAAGGAUUCCCCUAGUAACGGCGAGUGAAGCGGGAAGAGCUCAAAUUUGAAAUCUUAAAGGGUUUCCCUUUACGAAUUGUAGUUUAAAGAAGUGUUUUCUGUUGGAGUUUCGGUAAAAGUUCUUUGGAAUAGGACAUCAUAGAGGGUGAGAAUCCCGUAUUUGACCGUUACUUUCCAGCUGUGUGAUACACUUUCAAAGAGUCGGAUUGUUUGGGAAUGCAGUCCAAAAUGGGUGGUAAAUUUCAUCUAAAGCUAAAUAUUGGCGAGAGACCGAUAGCGAACAAGUACCGUGAGGGAAAGAUGAAAAGAACUUUGAAAAGAGAGUUAAACAGUACGUGAAAUUGUCAAAAGGGAAGCGUUUGACACCAGUGUUGUUUUUCCGAAAAUCAAUUACGAAUGUUUUGUUUUUGAGGAGUUAUGACUUCAUCGGCUUGCUCCUUUCCUUACGAAACUUUUUUAAUGCACUUUUCGGUUAACAAGUCAACAUCAAGUUUCUUUUGUUGUAAAAGGUCAUUGAGAAGGUGGCUUUCUUUUCGGAGAAAGUGUUUAUAGCCUUGUGACUCCUGCAAUCGGAGAGACUGAGGUCUGCAGCGUAGAUCCUUCGUUGAGUUAGAUUACAGUUUGUGCUAAGUUAUAGCUUUUCAUAGACAACUUGUUGACUAUGUUUAGUCUUGUAGCUUACUCGCUUACGCUAUUUUACCUACGCUUAGGAUGUUGAACUCUAUCACACACAG
RNAcentral lists this ribosomal RNA (781 nucleotides) under uncultured Neocallimastigales. RNAcentral describes it as "partial large subunit ribosomal RNA". It matches the Rfam family "Eukaryotic large subunit ribosomal RNA", at positions 23 to 634 of the family's 3401-position model. The record is from RNAcentral. Lineage: Eukaryota; Fungi; Neocallimastigomycota; Neocallimastigomycetes; Neocallimastigales.